Molecule: ribosomal RNA, 468 nt
Filed under: uncultured bacterium
Lineage: Bacteria
Description: partial 16S ribosomal RNA
Rfam family: Bacterial small subunit ribosomal RNA
Source: RNAcentral
GACGAACGCUGGCGGCGUGCUUAACACAUGCAAGUCGAACGGAAAGGCCCUGCUUUUGUGGGGUGCUCGAGUGGCGAACGGGUGAGUAACACGUGAGUAACCUGCCCUUGACUUUGGGAUAACUUCAGGAAACUGGGGCUAAUACUGGAUAGGAGCUCCUGCUGCAUGGUGGGGCUUGGAACGUUUCGGCGGUUGGGGAUGGACUCGCGGCUUAUCAGCUUGUUGGUGGGGUAGUGGCUUACCAAGGCUUUGACGGGUAGCCGGCCUGAGAGGGUGACCGGCCACAUUGGGACUGAGAUACGGCCCAGACUCCUACGGGAGGCAGCAGUGGGGAAUAUUGCACAAUGGGCGGAAGCCUGAUGCAGCAACGCCGCGUGCGGGAUGACGGCCUUCGGGUUGUAAACCGCUUUCGCCUGUGACGAAGCGUGAGUGACGGUAAUGGGUAAAGAAGCACCGGCUAACUACGUG